Molecule: ribosomal RNA, 484 nt
Filed under: uncultured bacterium
Lineage: Bacteria
Description: bacterial SSU rRNA
Rfam family: Bacterial small subunit ribosomal RNA
Source: RNAcentral
UAUCCUGGCUCAGGAUAAAACGCUGGCGGCGCACAUAAGACAUGCAAGUCGAACGAACUUAAUAUCUUGCUUGCAAGGUAAGCGGUUAGUGGCGGACUGGUGAGUAACACGUAAGAAAUCUGCCUAUCAGAGGGGAAUAACAGUGAGAAAUCACUGCUAAUACCGCAUAUGCCAUAAACAUCGCAUGAUGUUAGUGGGAAAGAAGCAAUUCGCUGAUAGAUGAGCUUGCGGCUGAUUAGCUAGUUGGUGGGGUAAAGGCCUACCAAGGCGACGAUCAGUAGCCGGACUGAGAGGUUGAACGGCCACAUUGGGACUGAGAUACGGCCCAGACUCCUACGGGAGGCAGCAGUCGGGAAUAUUGCGCAAUGGAGGCAACUCUGACGCAGUGACGCCGCGUAUAGGAAGAAGGUUUUCGGAUUGUAAACUAUUGUCCACAGGGAAGAAAAAGACUGUACCUGUGAAGAAAGCUCCGGCUAACUACGUG